AAAUAGAUAAGCUAAUAUUAAAGCUAUUGGGCUCAUACCUCAAACAUAGGAUUCUCCUUCUAUUUA
Molecule: transfer RNA, 66 nt
Filed under: Abacion magnum
Lineage: Eukaryota; Metazoa; Arthropoda; Diplopoda; Callipodida; Callipodidae
Description: tRNA-Met
Source: RNAcentral